This 607-nucleotide long non-coding RNA is filed under the name Ananas comosus (pineapple). RNAcentral's name for it is "long non-coding RNA (ACOM_LNC008501)". Lineage: Eukaryota; Viridiplantae; Streptophyta; Magnoliopsida; Poales; Bromeliaceae. The record is from RNAcentral.
UAUUGUAGCUUGUCACUUUUGUGUGUGUGUAGAAGUCCUUCGUGCUAUUAAGUUGUUUUCAAUGAUGCGACUUCCAAAUCGACGAUUGGCUCCGUUAGACUUGAUCUACACUAUUAAAAGUAGUUGGAAACUGAAUUUUAUAAUUUUUCGGCAUCAUUUACCUAUCAAACAAGUAGCCUAAACACACACGAACGGCUGAAAAUAAAAAUCUCAUAAAAAAUAAUAAUAAAUGACUUGAAUUUAAGAUCACAGAUAUUGAUCUUACUUUGAAUAGUGAAAAAAAUUUUCUAUAAAAAUUUUAUCAGAUUUGAAUUGUUUUACAUCAUUAAAUUUACAAACGCUUCACAUCUACCAAUAAAGUUGUCAAUUUUGAGACCGUUUGAUCACUAGCCAAAUGAUGCCGAAAAAUUAUGAAAUUUAGUUUCCAAAUACUUUUAAUAGUGCAGAUCAAGUCUGAUGAAUCUGAUCGUCGAUUUGAAAGCCGCAUAAUUAAAAACAACUUAGUUGCACGGAGAUCCGAUCGUAUACCAGCCUAGCUCUCUCUAUAUAUAUAUAUAUAUAUAUAUAUAUAUAUAUAUAUAUUAAAAAAUAUAUUAAAGGUUUUUAU